GAUGAACGCUGGCGGCGUGCCUAAUACAUGCAAGUCGAGCGAACGGACGAGAAGCUUGCUUCUCUGAUGUUAGCGGCGGACGGGUGAGUAACACGUGGAUAACCUACCUAUAAGACUGGGAUAACUUCGGAAAACCGGAGCUAAUACCGGAUAAUAUUUUGAACCGCAUGGUUCAAAAGUGAAAGACGGUCUUGCUGUCACUUAUAGAUGGAUCCGCGCUGCAUUAGCUAGUUGGUAAGGUAACGGCUUACCAAGGCAACGAUGCAUAGCCGACCUGAGAGGGUGAUCGGCCACACUGGAACUGAGACACGAUCCAGACUCCUACGGGAGGCAGCAGUAGGGAAUCUUCCGCAAUGGGCGAAAGCCUGACGGAGCAACGCCGCGUGAGUGAUGAAGGUCUUCGGAUCGUAAAACUCUGUUAUUAGGGAAGAACAUAUGUGUAAGUAACUGUGCACAUCUUGACGGUACCUAAUCAGAAAGCCACGGCUAACUACGUG
Molecule: ribosomal RNA, 497 nt
Filed under: uncultured bacterium
Lineage: Bacteria
Description: partial 16S ribosomal RNA
Rfam family: Bacterial small subunit ribosomal RNA
Source: RNAcentral